RNAcentral lists this ribosomal RNA (516 nucleotides) under uncultured Chloroflexota bacterium. RNAcentral describes it as "bacterial SSU rRNA". It matches the Rfam family "Bacterial small subunit ribosomal RNA", at positions 366 to 896 of the family's 1533-position model. The record is from RNAcentral. Lineage: Bacteria; Bacillati; Chloroflexota.
GCCCAAUGGACGAAAGUCUGAGGCAGCAACACCGCGUGAAGGAUGAAGGCCUUACGGGUCGUAAACUCUUUUCUGGGGGAAGAGAAGGACGGUACCCCAGGAAUAAGUCUCGGCUAACUACGUGCCAGCAGCCGCGGUAAAACGUAGGAGGCGAGCGUUAUCCGGAUUUAUUGGGCGUAAAGCGCAUGCAGGCGGUUUCCAAAGUCGGACGUGAAAGCUCCUGGCUCAACUAGGAGAGGCCGUUCGAAACUAGGGGGACUUGAGGAUGGUAGAGGUGAGUGGAGUUCCCGGUGUAGUGGUGAAAUGCGUAGAUAUCGGGAGGAACACCAGUGGCGAAGGCGGCUCACUGGGCCAUUCCUGACGCUCAGAUGCGAAAGCUAGGGGAGAGAACGGGAUUAGAAACCCCGGUAUUCCUAGCCGUAAACGAUGUCAACUAGGCGUAGGCGGUUAUUGACCCCGUCUGUGCUGCAGCUAACGCGUUAAGUUGACCGCCUGGGGACUACGGCCGCAAGGCUA